This 1582-nucleotide ribosomal RNA is filed under the name Enterococcus faecalis. RNAcentral's name for it is "bacterial SSU rRNA". It matches the Rfam family "Bacterial small subunit ribosomal RNA". Lineage: Bacteria; Bacillati; Bacillota; Bacilli; Lactobacillales; Enterococcaceae. The record is from RNAcentral.
UAUUAUGAGAGUUUGAUCCUGGCUCAGGACGAACGCUGGCGGCGUGCCUAAUACAUGCAAGUCGAACGCGUUCUGAUUACUCCCGAAAGGUGCUUGCACUCUUGAUUUAAUUGGAAAGAGGAGUGGCGGACGGGUGAGUAACACGUGGGUAACCUACCCAUAAGAGGGGGAUAACACUUGGAAACAGAUGCUAAUACCGCAUAACAGUUUAUGCCGCAUGGUCAUAAGAGUGAAAGAUGGCGCUUUCGGGUGUCGCUUAUGGAUGGACCCGCGGCGUAUUAGCUAGUUGGUGAGGUAACGGCUCACCAAGGCAAUGAUACGUAGCCGAACUGAGAGGGUGAUCGGCCACACUGGGACUGAGACACGGCCCAAACUCCUACGGGAGGCAGCAGUAGGGAAUCUUCCACAAUGGACGCAAGUCUGACGGAGCAACGCCGCGUGAGUGAAGAAGGCUUUCGGGUCGUAAAACUCUGUUGUUGGAGAAGAAUAAGGUCGGCAGAGUAACUGUUCGUCGGCGUGACGGUAUCCAACCAGAAAGCCACGGCUAACUACGUGCCAGCAGCCGCGGUAAUACGUAGGUGGCAAGCGUUAUCCGGAUUUAUUGGGCGUAAAGCGAGCGCAGGCGGUUUUUUAAGUCUGAUGUGAAAGCCCUCGGCUUAACCGAGGAAGUGCAUCGGAAACUGGGAAACUUGAGUGCAGAAGAGGACAGUGGAACUCCAUGUGUAGCGGUGAAAUGCGUAGAUAUAUGGAAGAACACCAGUGGCGAAGGCGGCUGUCUGGUCUGUAACUGACGCUGAGGCUCGAAAGCGUGGGUAGCGAACAGGAUUAGAUACCCUGGUAGUCCAUGCCGUAAACGAUGAAUGCUAGGUGUUGGAGGGUUUCCGCCCUUCAGUGCCGCAGCUAACGCAUUAAGCAUUCCGCCUGGGGAGUACGACCGCAAGGUUGAAACUCAAAGGAAUUGACGGGGGCCCGCACAAGCGGUGGAGCAUGUGGUUUAAUUCGAAGCAACGCGAAGAACCUUACCAGGUCUUGACAUCUUUUGAUCACCUGAGAGAUAGAGCUUUCCCCUUCGGGGGCAAAAUGACAGGUGGUGCAUGGUUGUCGUCAGCUCGUGUCGUGAGAUGUUGGGUUAAGUCCCGCAACGAGCGCAACCCUUAUGACUAGUUGCCAGCAUUUAGUUGGGCACUCUAGUGAGACUGCCGGUGACAAACCGGAGGAAGGUGGGGAUGACGUCAAAUCAUCAUGCCCCUUAUGACCUGGGCUACACACGUGCUACAAUGGGUGGUACAACGAGUUGCGAGACCGCGAGGUCAUGCUAAUCUCUUAAAGCUUCUCUCAGUUCGGACUGUAGGCUGCAACUCGCCUACACGAAGUCGGAAUCGCUAGUAAUCGCGGAUCAGCACGCCGCGGUGAAUACGUUCCCGGGCCUUGUACACACCGCCCGUCACACCACGAGAGUUUGUAACACCCGAAGUCGGUGAGGUAACCUUUUUGGAGCCAGCCGCCUAAGGUGGGAUAGAUGAUUGGGGUGAAGUCGUAACAAGGUAGCCGUAUCGGAAGGUGCGGCUGGAUCACCUCCUUU